RNAcentral lists this transfer RNA (73 nucleotides) under Stegodyphus mimosarum. It matches the Rfam family "tRNA". From Rfam's summary of the family: Transfer RNA (tRNA) molecules are approximately 80 nucleotides in length. Lineage: Eukaryota; Metazoa; Arthropoda; Arachnida; Araneae; Eresidae. The record is from Rfam by way of RNAcentral.
GCCUUCGUAGUGUACUGGUCAGCACGCUCGGCGCGUAUUCGAGCAAUCCGUGGUUCGAGUCCCGUCGAGGGCA